Bombyx mori (domestic silkworm) is the source of this 918-nucleotide long non-coding RNA. RefSeq lists it as uncharacterized. The record is from RefSeq and is a predicted model, not a curated record. The transcript is spliced from 3 exons. Lineage: Eukaryota; Metazoa; Arthropoda; Insecta; Lepidoptera; Bombycidae.
UACGUUCCAAUAACCUAUCGACGGGCAGCAGUUCCUAUCGGAUUUAUCUAUCCAUCGUCGGGAGGACGGAUAGCCUGCUAAAGAUAGAACGCUCAUACAAAUCGUGCUUACUUCCGUUUCAAUAUGAGUUUUAAGUAACUCUCCGGUAGGCGGCGCUAUCUCUAGUAUGGGCAUUCGCUUAUCUGUCAAAAUCGGCCGGUUACAUGUUUAUCUUUCGAAAGUAAAUCGCUAUAAUUUAAUAAUUGUUUCUCUUCAUAUUGGCAUAUUGUAGCAGUGAUGAUAGUGAUAUGGAAUUAUUUCAAAUGAUAAUGGAUUGUGAUGCAGAUAGUGAUAGUGAGGCCGAUAUCAUAUGGUUAGGAAAAUAAAGAUCGUCUGAAUUACAUGGCGAAGAUCAAUAAUUACGAAUUUGACUAUAGAUUUCUGAGCAAAGGUGUUGUGAAUGAAUUGAUUAAUUUAAUGAGACCAUAUUUGAGUGUAACGUCAAAAAGAUUCAAAUAUAGGAGAAGAAUUUAGAAAUAGAAAAAGAGUAUUUUGAAUGUGUAAUUUGUGUGCAAUGCAUCAUUGAUGUUUCAAAAUGUUGUUGGUUGAUGGCCUGGGUCUACUCAUGAUACAACUAUAAUUAACCAUUCCGAUUGAAAAGAUGCAUUGGUGUUUGUAAAAGAAGACUCCCUGUAUAUCAUUGAAAAGUAGAUUAAAACUAGAAAAUAUGCAAGCUGUUAUUAUAGCUGCCAUGCUGCAUAAUACCGUCAGAAGUAUGAAUUUAGAAGAAUUAGAAUCAGAAAUUUCAGUCGCAGAUACAUUACAGGAAAAUAAUAUAAUUGUUCGUAACAAUUUUUCAAAACUUACAUCUGAAAUACAACUAUGUACUUAUAAAUAAUUGCUUCCAAAGAUAAUUUAUAAAAUAAACUCCAAAGAUAA